GUAGCUGUAAUGCAUAUAGAUCUAGGUGCAGUAGAACCAAUCUGGCCAUACUGACUCUGUACACAAUCCCAAGCUUAAGUGAUGGGAAGGAUAACUUAAAAUAAUUUCUUUUGAAUCUAAUCUAAUCUAAACCACUGGUUCUCAAACUGUGGUACCAUUACCAAAGGUGGUAUGCAACCUCCCUCUAGUGGUACGCGGAUGGAAUCUCUGAUAUAUUU
Etheostoma spectabile (orangethroat darter) is the source of this 218-nucleotide long non-coding RNA. RefSeq lists it as uncharacterized. NCBI's taxonomy places the organism in Eukaryota, Metazoa, Chordata, Actinopteri, Perciformes, Percidae. The record is from RefSeq and is a predicted model, not a curated record. The transcript is spliced from 2 exons.